CAUCGUGUUUUGAUCAAUAAUUUAAGAUAUAGCCUGCCCAAUGAUUUUUAAAUGGCCGCGGUAUAUUGACCGUGCAAAGGUAGCAUAAUCAUUAGUUUCUUAAUUAGAAGCUGGAAUGAAUGGUUGGACGAGAAAAUAACUGUCUCUAUUUAAUAUAAUAGAAUUUAAUUUUUAAGUUAAAAAGCUUAAAUUUUUAUUAAAGACGAGAAGACCCUAUAGAGUUUUAUAAUUUGAAUUUUAAAUUAAUUUCGGAAUUUAAUUUAAUUAUAGUAAUAAUUAUUUGGUUGGGGUGAUUUAAAGAUAAAAAAAACUCUUUAUUUUUUAGAUUAUUAAUUUAUAUAUUUUUGAUCCAUUAUUAGUGAUUAUAAGAAUAAAUUACCUUAGGGAUAACAGCGUAAUCUUUUUGGAGAGUUCUUAUUUAUAAAAGGGAUUGCGACCUCGAUGUUGGAUUAAAAUUAAUUAUUGGUGCAGAAGCUAAUAAAUUAAGUCUGUUCGACUUUUAAAAUUUUACAUGAUCUGAG
This 521-nucleotide ribosomal RNA is filed under the name Ptilodactyla serricornis. RNAcentral describes it as "partial 16S ribosomal RNA". It matches the Rfam family "Bacterial large subunit ribosomal RNA", at positions 1814 to 2609 of the family's 2925-position model. Lineage: Eukaryota; Metazoa; Arthropoda; Insecta; Coleoptera; Ptilodactylidae. The record is from RNAcentral.